Molecule: long non-coding RNA, 1745 nt
Organism: Carya illinoinensis
Lineage: Eukaryota; Viridiplantae; Streptophyta; Magnoliopsida; Fagales; Juglandaceae
Exons: 6
Source: RefSeq, a predicted model, not a curated record
UGAAGAAGUUUGAAUUUACUUAAUUUAUUUCUUGUAAUAUCAAUCUAUAAACUCAGUUGAAAUAGCGUGAUGGACAAUGAGGAAGAUAAAAGGCCACCCAUGUCUUCUACACCAAUUCCAUCGACUUAGGAUAUUAUGGUCUAGGAAAUGCUUACUACCUGCCAUUUAUGAUGCAUCCAAAUACAUAUCCGAAUUCAUAUAUAUACGCAUGGGCUAACCAGGCCCCACCAAUGCCACAUUUUUCAACAACGUUCAUCUACCCUCCGUCGACUAAUGCAAAUGAGUCAAGCCGUCUUCAACAAACGAUCCAGCCCCCACCAAUGCUAUCUUUUCCAACAACGUUAUCUAUCCUUCAUCGACUAAUGCAAAGGAGUCACCCUCAGGCUGUGUUCAACCAACAAGCUAGGUUCUUCCUUUCUUUUCCUAAAUUUUUGUCAUUGAAUAUGAGCAUUGUUACAUAUUCUAACACCGUGCCUGAUAUAAGCCCCCACCAAUGCCACAUUUUCCAACAACGUUCAUCUACCCUCUGCUGACUAAUGCAGAGAUUCGGGUCGUCUUCAACAAAUGACCCAGUCCCCACCAAUGCCACAUCUUCCAACGACGUUCAUCUACCUUCCAUCGACAAAUGCAAAGGAGUCGGGCCAUGUUCAACAACCUAACCAGAUAUCAGGUGAUGUUCCUGCAGUACUGAAGGCUUUGGAGGAGAUUGGUUCUCAACUAAGGUCUAAAUUGAAUUUGGGAUGGAUAAUACUUUGUCUUUAAGACUUUAAUGAAACGUUUUUUUUUUUUUUUUGAAAAUCAAUGUUUAUAAUCCAGUUCCAUUUUAUUCAAGGAAAACCCACUGCGACAAGUGAUUUCUAUUAGCUCAGCAUACAACUAUAUUGCAAUCAGACCACCCCAACCAUUCUUGGACCCAACUUUAGGUUAUUGACUACAUUAUUGCUAAAAACCCUUAAAAAUGUUGAGGACCUUUGCAUUUGUUUCAGCUGCUUUAUGUAUAUUUUUUUCCCAAGUCUAUGGUGGGAAAGGUGAACAAAAGCAUCGACAAAUUCAAUUUUCUGGUAGCACUCAACAGGUAUGUCCAUCUUUCUUGGUUAUAUAAUAAUCAUUUGUUAAUACCACCAAAAUGAUGACAGAAACCAUUUUUCUCUUGUUAAUACUACAAGAGAAAAAUGAAGGAUAACUUCAAGAGCAAAAACACAACCUCAGAAACCACAACAUUACUAAUGAAAGCGAAAAAAAAUACAUUUUAUUUAAUAUUAAAACUCCAUAAACAUUUUUCCCACAACAAGAGCAAAAUGAGGGGGUAAAAUCCAACUUUCAAGAGUAAAACCACAACUUAGAAACCAUAUCUCCAAGCAUUAAUAAACUAAAAAAAAUAAAAACAACCAAAGUGAGAAAUGGAUUACCUUACUGUCAUGGAGUGGAAGACAUACACCAACAGGGAUGAAGGUUUUUUGCGAUUUUGGAAGUGAGAGGAGCAAAAUGGGAAGGAGAUUUUUGUGAUUCGGAAGUGAGAAGAGCAGAAUGGGUCUUAGAAUGGUUUGCGAUUGCGAUUUGAGGCUUAUGAAGGAGACGAAGGUUUUAUGCGAUUCGGAAGUGAGAGGAGCAUGGGUCUGUGAUUGCGAUUCUAUACGACCUGGGUUUUCUAUGAUUUGAAAUUUAUUGGAGCAUAAUGGUUCACCAUUGAUUCGGAAGUGAGAUUGCGAUUCCACCCAAUGAUGAAGGUUAAGGUUUUCUGUGAG